This 337-nucleotide unclassified non-coding RNA is filed under the name soil metagenome. RNAcentral describes it as "partial contains 5.8S ribosomal RNA, internal transcribed spacer 2, and large subunit ribosomal RNA". The stretch from base 1 to 120 matches the Rfam family "5.8S ribosomal RNA", at positions 35 to 154 of the family's 154-position model. The record is from RNAcentral.
GAUGAAGAACGUAGCGAAAUGCGAUAAGUAAUGUGAAUUGCAGAAUUCAGUGAAUCAUCGAAUCUUUGAACGCACAUUGCGCCCCCUGGCAUUCCGGGGGGCAUGCCUGUCCGAGCGUCAUUUCUGCCCUCAAGCACGGCUUGUGUGUUGGGUGCGGUCCCCCCGGGGACCUGCCCGAAAGGCAGCGGCGACGUCCGUCUGGUCCUCGAGCGUAUGGGGCUCUGUCACUCGCUCGGGAAGGACCUGCGGGGGUUGGUCACCACUAUAUUUUACCACGGUUGACCUCGGAUCAGGUAGGAGUUACCCGCUGAACUUAAGCAUAUCAAUAAGCGGAGGA